GGGAUUGCCUCAGUAACGGCGAGUGAAGCGGCAACAGCUCAAAUUUGAAAUCUGGCCCUUUCGGGGUCCGAGUUGUAAUUUGUAGAGAGUGCUUCGGGGGAGGCGGCGGUCUAAGUCCAUUGGAACAUGGCGUCAUAGAGGGUGAGAAUCCCGUAUGCGACCGUGGCUCGAACCCAUGUGAAGCCUCUUCGACGAGUCGAGUUGUUUGGGAAUGCAGCUCAAAAUGGGUGGUAAAUUUCAUCUAAAGCUAAAUACCGGCUGGAGACCGAUAGCGCACAAGUAGAGUGAUCGAAAGAUGAAAAGCACUUUGGAAAGAGAGUCAAACAGUACGUGAAAUUGUUGAAAGGGAAGCGCUUGCAACCAGACCUGCCCGCAGGCGAUCAGUCGCUGUUCUCAGCGGUGCACUCGCCCUGCGAUCAGGCCAGCAUCGGUUUCGGCGGUCGGAUAAAGGCCUUGGGAAUGUAGCUCCCCUUCGGGGGAGCCUUAUAGCCCUCGGUGCAAUGCGGCCAGCCGAGACCGAGGACCGCGCUUCGGCUAGGAUGCUGGCGUAAUGGUUGUAAGCGACCCGUCUUGAAACACGGACCAAGGAGUCUAACAUCUAUGCGAGUGUUUGGGUGUCAAACCCAUGCGCGGAAUGAAAGUGAACGGAGGUGAGAACCCUGAAGGGCGCAUCAUCGACCGAUCCAGAUGUCUUCGGAUGGAUUUGAGUAUGAGCAUAGCUGUUGGGACCCGAAAGAUGGUGAACUAUGCCUGAAUAGGGUGAAGCCAGAGGAAACUCUGGUGGAGGCUCGCAGCGGUUCUGACGUGCAAAUCGAUCGUCAAAUUUGGGUAUAGGGGCGAAAGACUAAUCGAACCA
RNAcentral lists this ribosomal RNA (856 nucleotides) under Parmelina tiliacea. RNAcentral's name for it is "eukaryotic LSU rRNA". It matches the Rfam family "Eukaryotic large subunit ribosomal RNA", at positions 71 to 942 of the family's 3401-position model. The record is from RNAcentral. Lineage: Eukaryota; Fungi; Ascomycota; Lecanoromycetes; Lecanorales; Parmeliaceae.